Molecule: non-coding RNA, 159 nt
Filed under: Parcubacteria group bacterium GW2011_GWC1_40_13
Lineage: Bacteria
Source: RNAcentral
UUAUGACCCUGUAGAGACUUGGCCUUAACUGGUCGGAGUGUGAAGGAAGACUUCAUGCUAACACGCCGAACCCCCUCACCAGUUUUAGAAUUAGAUAUUUCUAAAACUUAAAACUGGUGAGGGGUGAAGAUAUAGUCCGAUCCUUCCGGUAACGGAAGA